GCUCUCAGUGGUGUAGUGGUAGUACGCUCCUCCGGUGUGGAUGAAACGUGGGUUCAACUCCCGUCUGAGGUC
Non-coding RNA from Parelaphostrongylus tenuis, 72 nucleotides. Lineage: Eukaryota; Metazoa; Nematoda; Chromadorea; Rhabditida; Metastrongylidae. The record is from the annotation of a GenBank genome assembly.